GGCAGGGUGUUUGGCGCCGCUGUCCGACUGAAAAUCGGAAGGUCGGCGGUUCGACCCCGCCCCUGGCCACAA
Molecule: transfer RNA, 72 nt
Filed under: Terrabacter sp. Root85
Lineage: Bacteria; Bacillati; Actinomycetota; Actinomycetes; Micrococcales; Intrasporangiaceae
Description: tRNA-Ser
Rfam family: tRNA
About the family: Transfer RNA (tRNA) molecules are approximately 80 nucleotides in length. Their secondary structure includes four short double-helical elements and three loops (D, anti-codon, and T loops). Further hydrogen bonds mediate the characteristic L-shaped molecular structure. tRNAs have two regions of fundamental functional importance: the anti-codon, which is responsible for specific mRNA codon recognition, and the 3' end, to which the tRNAs corresponding amino acid is attached (by aminoacyl-tRNA synthetases). tRNAs cope with the degeneracy of the genetic code in two manners: having more than one tRNA (with a specific anti-codon) for a particular amino acid; and 'wobble' base-pairing, i.e. permitting non-standard base-pairing at the 3rd anti-codon position.
Source: RNAcentral